CCAGUAGAGUUUGAUCCUGGCUCAGCCACAAAGUCGUAACAAGGUAGCCGUAGCUAGAGUUUGAUCCUGGCUCAGAUUGAACGCUGGCGGCAUGCCUUACACAUGCAAGUCGAACGGCAGCACGGGUGCUUGCACCUGGUGGCGAGUGGCGAACGGGUGAGUAAUACAUCGGAACAUGUCCUGUAGUGGGGGAUAGCCCGGCGAAAGCCGGAUUAAUACCGCAUACGAUCUACGGAUGAAAGCGGGGGACCUUCGGGCCUCGCGCUAUAGGGUUGGCCGAUGGCUGAUUAGCUAGUUGGUGGGGUAAAGGCCUACCAAGGCGACGAUCAGUAGCUGGUCUGAGAGGACGACCAGCCACACUGGGACUGAGACACGGCCCAGACUCCUACGGGAGGCAGCAGUGGGGAAUUUUGGACAAUGGGCGAAAGCCUGAUCCAGCAAUGCCGCGUGUGUGAAGAAGGCCUUCGGGUUGUAAAGCACUUUUGUCCGGAAAGAAAUCCUUGGUUCUAAUAUAGCCGGGGGAUGACGGUACCGGAAGAAUAAGCACCGGCUAACUACGUGCCAGCAGCCGCGGUAAUACGUAGGGUGCGAGCGUUAAUCGGAAUUACUGGGCGUAAAGCGUGCGCAGGCGGUUUGCUAAGACCGAUGUGAAAUCCCCGGGCUCAACCUGGGAACUGCAUUGGUGACUGGCAGGCUAGAGUAUGGCAGAGGGGGGUAGAA
Molecule: ribosomal RNA, 720 nt
Filed under: uncultured Burkholderia sp.
Lineage: Bacteria; Pseudomonadati; Pseudomonadota; Betaproteobacteria; Burkholderiales; Burkholderiaceae
Description: bacterial SSU rRNA
Rfam family: Bacterial small subunit ribosomal RNA
Source: RNAcentral